RNAcentral lists this ribosomal RNA (463 nucleotides) under uncultured bacterium. Its description in RNAcentral is "bacterial SSU rRNA". It matches the Rfam family "Bacterial small subunit ribosomal RNA", at positions 329 to 793 of the family's 1533-position model. The record is from RNAcentral.
GCCCAGACUACGGGAGGCAGCAGUGAGGAAUAUUGGUCAAUGGUCGGGAGACUGAACCAGCCAAGCCGCGUGAGGGAGGAAGGUACGGAGUAUCGUAAACCUCUUUUGUCAGGGAACAAAGGCGGGGACGUGUCCCCGGAUGAGUGUACCUGAAGAAAAAGCAUCGGCUAACUCCGUGCCAGCAGCCGCGGUAAUACGGAGGAUGCGAGCGUUAUCCGGAUUUAUUGGGUUUAAAGGGUGCGUAGGCGGGCUGUUAAGUCAGCGGUCAAAUGUCGGGGCUCAACCCCGGCCUGCCGUUGAAACUGGCGGCCUCGAGUGGGCGAGAAGUAUGCGGAAUGCGUGGUGUGGCGGUGAAAUGCAUAGAUAUCGCGCAGAACUCCGAUUGCGAAGGCAGCAUGCCGGCUCCACACUGACGCUGAGGCACGAAAGCGUGGGUAUCGAACAGGAUUAGAUACCCCAGUAG